CAAGGCUUGACAUGCAUCGGAAGCAUCCAGAGAUGGGUGUGCUCUUUGAGUCGGUGUACAGGUGGUGCAUGGCUGUCGUCAGCUCGUGUCGUGAGAUGUUGGGUUAAGUCCCGCAACGAGCGCAACCCUUGUCCUGUGUUGCCAGCGGAGCCUUCGGGCUGCCGGGGACUCACGGGAGACUGCCGGGGUCAACUCGGAGGAAGGUGGGGACGACGUCAAGUCAUCAUGCCCCUUAUGUCUUGGGCUGCACACGUGCUACAAUGGCCGGUACAAUGAGCUGCGAUACCGUGAGGUGGAGCGAAUCUCAAAAAGCCGGUCUCAGUUCGGAUUGGGGUCUGCAACUCGACCCCAUGAAGUCGGAGUCGCUAGUAAUCGCAGAUCAGCAUUGCUGCGGU
RNAcentral lists this ribosomal RNA (395 nucleotides) under uncultured Streptomyces sp. Its description in RNAcentral is "bacterial SSU rRNA". It matches the Rfam family "Bacterial small subunit ribosomal RNA", at positions 975 to 1363 of the family's 1533-position model. Lineage: Bacteria; Bacillati; Actinomycetota; Actinomycetes; Kitasatosporales; Streptomycetaceae. The record is from RNAcentral.